RNAcentral lists this non-coding RNA (24 nucleotides) under Gossypium hirsutum (cotton). Lineage: Eukaryota; Viridiplantae; Streptophyta; Magnoliopsida; Malvales; Malvaceae. The record is from RNAcentral.
AAAAUGCAUCCGUUGAUGGCUCUC